Molecule: ribosomal RNA, 497 nt
Filed under: uncultured bacterium
Lineage: Bacteria
Description: partial 16S ribosomal RNA
Rfam family: Bacterial small subunit ribosomal RNA
Source: RNAcentral
GAUGAACGCUGGCGGCGUGCCUAAUACAUGCAAGUCGAGCGAACGGACGAGAAGCUUGCUUCUCUGAUGUUAGCGGCGGACGGGUGAGUAACACGUGGAUAACCUACCUAUAAGACUGGGAUAACUUCGGGAAACCGUAGCUAAUACCGGAUAAUAUUUUGAACCGCAUGGUUCAAAAGUGAAGGACGGUCUUGCUGUCACUUAUAGAUGGAUCCGCGCUGCAUUAGCUAGUUGGUAAGGUAACGGCUUACCAAGGCAACGAUGCAUAGCCGACCUGAGGGGGUGAUCGGCCACACUGGAACUGAGACACGGUCCAGACUCCUACGGGAGGCAGCAGUAGGGAAUCUUCCGCAAUGGGCGAAAGCCUGACGGAGCAACGCCGCGUGAGUGAUGAAGGUCUUCGGAUCGUAAAACUCUGUUAUUAGGGAAGAACAUAUGUGUAAGUAACUGUGCACAUCUUGACGGUACCUAAUCAGAAAGCCACGGCUAACUACGUG